RNAcentral lists this transfer RNA (85 nucleotides) under Oscillospiraceae bacterium. RNAcentral's name for it is "tRNA-Leu". It matches the Rfam family "tRNA". Rfam says of the family: Transfer RNA (tRNA) molecules are approximately 80 nucleotides in length. Their secondary structure includes four short double-helical elements and three loops (D, anti-codon, and T loops). Further hydrogen bonds mediate the characteristic L-shaped molecular structure. tRNAs have two regions of fundamental functional importance: the anti-codon, which is responsible for specific mRNA codon recognition, and the 3' end, to which the tRNAs corresponding amino acid is attached (by aminoacyl-tRNA synthetases). tRNAs cope with the degeneracy of the genetic code in two manners: having more than one tRNA (with a specific anti-codon) for a particular amino acid; and 'wobble' base-pairing, i.e. permitting non-standard base-pairing at the 3rd anti-codon position. Lineage: Bacteria; Bacillati; Bacillota; Clostridia; Eubacteriales; Oscillospiraceae. The record is from RNAcentral.
GCGGAUGUGAUGGAAUUGGCAGACAUGCAGGAUUUAGGUUCCUGUGCCGCAAGGCGUGUGGGUUCGAGUCCCUUCAUCCGCACCA